AAUUCUCAACCUCUACUGCUUUUGUGGCAGAGGCUUGGACUUGGAGGUCGUGUCGGCUUGCGAAGGUCGACUCCUCUGAAAUGCAUUAGUGCGAGCCUUACGGAUCGCUUCGGUGUGAUAAUUGUCUACGCCGUGGUGUGAAGUAUAUUUGUGUUCGCGCUUCUAACCGUCCGCGAGGACAACUUUACA
RNAcentral lists this unclassified non-coding RNA (189 nucleotides) under uncultured Phlebia. RNAcentral's name for it is "sequence contains ITS2". The record is from RNAcentral. Lineage: Eukaryota; Fungi; Basidiomycota; Agaricomycetes; Corticiales; Corticiaceae.